GAUGGCCUUUGUAUGUGUGUGUGUGUGUGUGUGGACUUCAUUGCUAGUCAAAGAGGAAGAGAGAGAAUAUUUGUGUGUUAAUGUGAGGAUAUGAAAUCACAACCCACCAUCACGUCGGUUGAAUUCUUAAGCAAUUUGCACAAAUUUUAUUAGUGCAGGAAAAACACAGUACAGGGGUGUUUCAUGUGCAUACUCUCUCCCAACACCAUCUCUAUAUAAUAUAUUUAUAUAUACCAAACCUCCCCCACCUUUCAUAGUUUGAAAUGCCAAAACACAGAAGGGGGAAUUAAAGCAAUAAAACAACAACACACAAUAAAUCUCAUCAAAUGCGACAUCAAUUUGAAAUACAGAUGUAGGAUCUUAAUUUGAGGCAGUUUGGUACAGCAGGAAAAUAAUCCUGACGCAAUGGUAAAUGUGAAUUAUUAUUAUGUAUUAUAAUGAAUGGACAUUUUUGUAAGGGUUGAUACAUUUUACGUAAGGGAAAAUCAAGUCUAAAAUUUCAAAGUGGAAAUGUUAAACCUCAAACUACAAGCUUUAAAUGUCCUGCAUUGCAGGAAGGUUCUCUUGCAACAGGGUGAUUAAACUGAAGAUCCUACAACUGUACAAAAAAAAAAAUGUUUAAAAAAAGAUUUAGGUAUUGUAGGUAGUGAGAUAUUCACAUAAAUAAACCAACAUACAUAAUUAAAACAUCAUCAAUAAAUAACACAUUGAUAAUCAAUUUAAUUAAAUAACUAAAUAUAGCUGGACAAUAUAAGUAUUGAUUGAUCCUAACCCAGUUCACUUGGGGUGGGUUCUAUGCGGCUUCCUGAUUGAGGGUCAAUCCCAAACGACACCCUAUUCCCUAGAUAGUGCGGCAUUUUUUUUUGUACCAUACUAUUCCCUAGAUAGUGCACUACUUCGACCAAACUACUCCCUAGAUAGUGAAUUAUUUUGGAACAAUCUGUUCUCUAGAAUAGUGCACUACUAACCCUUAUGUAUUGUAGUGCACUGUCUAGUGAAAGGGGUGGCAUUUGAGCUGCAGAUUCCCUGAAAUGACUGGUGAGCUCUCUGUGUUUGUGGGGCCUCCUUACUGGGUUAGUCUAUUGCUUAUAAGUUUAUAAAUUGCCUGGCUGGGCUGAUGAGACAGUGGAUUGCGCAGUCAGAUGGGACAGAGUAAACAGGCAUUUUUCACGUCAUAGAUUUAGCCGGUGGCAACUCGUGGAAUAGACACCGGCUGGAAUGCGGUUUUAACCAAUAACCAAGGAUUAGACCCACCCGUUGUAUAAAUGUAUUGGCUACUAGAACGCGACUUCCAGUCAUAUAAGGGUUGGGUGAACAGUAUAUGGUGUUUUAUGUUUGAGUCUAAUGUUAAUUCCAAGUUGUAUAUCUGUGUAUAUCCAAAGAUCCAUGUCGCCAGCAAACUUCUACUCCUACCUCCUUAGUACAGUAGGUAAGCCUUGUCCGAGCCAGAACGGCCCAUUGGGCAGGAAGCCUAUAUCUCCUGUUUCGGUAGUGUGAAGCAGCUUGAUAUACAAGGACACUGGUAGUCCUUAGUGUGAAGUACAAUAAUAUAUUUGCAAAGCAUACUCAACAGUAUGCUAGUAUGGAUAAUGGGACAACACAUUGUUUACGGGAUGUGCUCUUGUCAGGAAUGACAUCAACAGGGUUUUUAAGGAGGAGAGCAGAAUUGUUUACUAAAGACAUUUUGGACCCUUCCGUAUAUGCCCCUUGAAGAAUCCAUUAUGCAUUCCAUUGCAUUCAGAACCACAAUAACCAAGACAGGCUUUCAUCACAUCAUCCAUCCAGUCACUGUAGCACUAUGUUCUUGAAAUCAUCCAACAUUUGGUUGCUUUUAAGGGGAGAAGUGGAAUGGGGUCAUGUUAACAAAGAAAGAAAAAAAAAACGACCAUAGCCCGGAUUUUAAAUGGGGCAAUCUCUGAUUAGAUACAACCAGCUAACUAGCUCUGGACACUUAGUUAGCAAGCGUCUAAGAGUAGGAGUGCUGAUCUAGGAUCAGGUCUUCCACGUCCAUAAUGACAAUGACCUAAAAGGCUAAGCUGAUCCCAGAUCCACAUUCCUACUCUGAGUGAGGGGUUCUUAGAAAAAGUCUUAAGUUAAAUAUCCAUACAUAAGAACUAGUAAAAGACAAGCGUAAAUGAGAAAAGACUAAGAAGGAGGUGGGUAUUUAAGGUGUGGAUAAUAGAAAGAGGGAGGAUCU
This is a long non-coding RNA of Oncorhynchus tshawytscha (Chinook salmon), 2197 nucleotides long. The record is from Ensembl. NCBI's taxonomy places the organism in Eukaryota, Metazoa, Chordata, Actinopteri, Salmoniformes, Salmonidae.